GACGAACGCUGGCGGCGUGCUUAACACAUGCAAGUCGAACGGUGAAGGGACUGGUUUUGCUGGUCCUGGAUGAGUGGCGAACGGGUGAGUAACACGUGAGUAACCUGCCCCCUUCUUCUGGAUAACCGCAUGAAAGUGUGGCUAAUACGGGAUAUUCUGGGUCUGUCGCAUGGUGGGCCUGGGAAAGAUUGCGCCUUUUUUGGUGUUUUUGGUGGGGGAUGGGCUCGGGGCCUAUCAGCUUGUUGGGGGGGUGAUGGCCUACCAGGGCGGUGACGGGUAGGCGGCCUGAGGGGGUGGCCGGCACAAGUGGGGCUGCGAACCGGCCGAGACUCCUACGGGGGGCAGCCGGGGGGAAUAUUGCACAGUGGGGGAAAGCCUGCUACGGCGGCGCCGCGGGAGGGGUGGCGCCCUGGGGGUGUUGAAGCUCUUCGGCCAGUGAAGCGGGCUCGCCUUUUUUUGUGGGUGGGUGAACGGAAGGGGGAAAAAAACGCCGGGUAAACUCGGG
Molecule: ribosomal RNA, 505 nt
Filed under: uncultured bacterium
Lineage: Bacteria
Description: partial 16S ribosomal RNA
Rfam family: Bacterial small subunit ribosomal RNA
Source: RNAcentral